CCUACGGGAGGCAGCAGUGAGGAAUAUUGGUCAAUGGGCGCGAGCCUGAACCAGCCAAGUCGCGUGAGGGAUGAAGGUUCUAUGGAUCGUAAACCUCUUUUAUAAGGGAAUAAAGUGUGGGACGUGUCCUAUUUUGUAUGUACCUUAUGAAUAAGGAUCGGCUAACUCCGUGCCAGCAGCCGCGGUAAUACGGAGGAUCCGAGCGUUAUCCGGAUUUAUUGGGUUUAAAGGGUGCGUAGGCGGCCUUUUAAGUCAGCGGUUAAAGGUUGGGGCUCAACCCCCGGAUUGCCGUGGAAACUGGCGGCCUGGAGUAGGCUAGAGGUAGGCGGAAUGCGUGGUGUAGCGGUGAAAUGCAUAGAUAUCACGCAGAACCCCGAUUGCGAAGGCAGCAUGCC
Molecule: ribosomal RNA, 395 nt
Filed under: uncultured bacterium
Lineage: Bacteria
Description: partial 16S ribosomal RNA
Rfam family: Bacterial small subunit ribosomal RNA
Source: RNAcentral